CUAGAUCUGACAUCUCGGCUGGAAGUAUCCAUGUCCUGAGAUAAACCCCCCUUCCCCACAGCAAGAUCUGGAUCUCACCUCUCUGCGGGAAGUACCCAUGUCCUGAGGUUAUUUUGUUUGUAACUGCAAAUGGAACACCAUGAUAUUACCCCGCAAAGUGACCUGGAGGGUAUUCUGUUUGAUGAAAGCGCAGAACCAAAGGCUUUACCAUUAUCACUUCUGGAGCACAUCACCAGCGGUUUCUCUCGUGGUGAAGAAAUUGGCAAUGGUGGUUUUGCAACGGUUUAUAAGGGAAUGCUUGACAAUGGCAUGGUUGCUGUGAAGAAGCUUUUUGGAACGGUUGAUCUUGAUGAGAAGAAAUUCAGUGAAGAGAUACGUUGUCUGAUGAAGGCAAAGCACAAAAAUAUUGUGCGGUUCCUAGGAUAUUGCGCUGACACACAAGGAGAAAUGGUAGAUUGCGGGGGAAAGCUUGUCUUGGCAGAUGUACGACAAA
This is a long non-coding RNA of Triticum dicoccoides, 493 nucleotides long. RefSeq lists it as uncharacterized. The record is from RefSeq and is a predicted model, not a curated record. The transcript has 3 exons. NCBI's taxonomy places the organism in Eukaryota, Viridiplantae, Streptophyta, Magnoliopsida, Poales, Poaceae.